GACUAGUGUGAAACCCUGCCUCGAAAAACUGGGAGGAAAAGCCAGAUUCAUCUUUAGACCCAAUUCAAGCACAGCCUCCUCCUUUCUGUAACUGACCUACUCAGUCUUUUUUGCAUUUGCCUUAAAAUGGAGUUCAGGAAACGGAAAGUAAAUUCAUGGAGAAUUCCUAGGUGCCGCUUAUGGAGAUGCAUCUGCUCUUCCCACCACCACCUUUUUUAAAUGGUAAACGCUUCAUUUCACUGACUUUAAAAAAAAUGCACUUAAAGGCCCAAGGCAUAGCUUAGUGAAAGAGCGCUUGCCUGGUAUGCAUGAGGCUCUCUGUUCCCGCUCCAGCACCCCACCUCCCAAGAAAAUUCCUGCUGUUGGAGUCAUUUAUCCAAGAUGCUGGUAAUCAGACCGGUCUGCAUGAUGCCAAAGCACAUUUCUUGCCACUACUAUACAAACGUCUGAUUCAUCCUCUGUCCCUCACUCACUCUGCCAAGAUGCCUUCGGCAUAAAAGCUUGUGGAGAGCACCUUUCCAGCCACCACACUUGGAUCACGGAGGAAGGGAGUACCAGCGGAAGAGCCCCAGGUGCCCUGUGGUGUAAGGAGCAUCUGUACAAGGUGGAGUCUGGACAACCAGUAACUUAAUGAGCUUUGAAUGGACUGUCAAGGAGACAACAGAGCACAUGAGCCCAGUUACCAGAUAACAUGCUUUUAUCUGAAAAAAGAAAGCCAUCCAACAGGAUUGGGAUAUGCAUAAGGUUAUCUGUCUUCUGUGGUGUGUCCAUGCUUCACUGUUAACCAAGUUACUCGGUCUUCUGUGGUGUGUCCAUGUUUCACCGUUACCCAGAUGGGAGUUGGACCUGAGGAGAUAAAUGACCCAGCGCAUUCCACCCCGGCCC
Long non-coding RNA from Jaculus jaculus (lesser Egyptian jerboa), 885 nucleotides. RefSeq lists it as uncharacterized. The transcript is spliced from 5 exons. NCBI's taxonomy places the organism in Eukaryota, Metazoa, Chordata, Mammalia, Rodentia, Dipodidae. The record is from RefSeq and is a predicted model, not a curated record.